Molecule: RNA transcript, 1335 nt
Organism: Magnolia sinica
Lineage: Eukaryota; Viridiplantae; Streptophyta; Magnoliopsida; Magnoliales; Magnoliaceae
Exons: 7
Source: RefSeq, a predicted model, not a curated record
CAGUCAGUAGCUAAUCCGUGUCCCGUCUCCCUCUCAUCUUCCAAACUCCGACUCACGCCACCACCUUCAUAUCUCUCGUCUUUUAGGCGCCGAAAUCUUCUUAACCCUCUCUUUCAAAUUUCAAGUUCUGAUUUUUUCCUAACUUCCUCCCAUCAUAACCUCCGGCCAAACCGCUAUAUUUUCGCCGGCAUAUUCGCCGAACCGGAUGCCAUUCUCGUCUUAUAAAUACCGAACAACGGGACCAGCCCACACGGCCUCGUCCCCACCUCUAUCUCUCUCGCUCUCACGUCUGGUAGGGUUUUAGGGUUUUGAGGGCCAGAUUCCUCUUGGAUUAAGGGUAUUCCGUCUUCUAUCUUUUACAGAAAAGGUAGCGUAUGUGAAUUCAGCUAACAGUUUGAUUGAGUUGGGGAGUAAUAUCUAGAGACAUUAAUCUUGUUGCAGUUUGAUUUUGGCGCUCCAAAUUCUCCGAGGAUGAAAAUGCCAUAAAGAAUUAUCUUGAUGCACACAUGCGUGCAAUGUAAUGAAUGCAUGAUGGUUGUAACUUUGACAUGUAGAAAAGAAGCCAAAGCCGGGGCGCUUACAAAUUUUGAAGUCCUCGACCUUUUACGAUCUAGAGGGGCAACAAGUGAUCCUUUGGGAGCUCUUGGUGCUGUAUCUCCAUCUGAAUGCAAGGUUUUCAAUUACCUAGUAAACAGCGCUGCUUGCAAUCAAACAAGGGAAAUCAUCAAUGAGUUCUUGAAAAGAUCUGAAAAGUACAAUCUCGCAAGAGCUGAGAAGCUUAAUAUUAUCAACAUGAGGCCAUCAUCGGAGCCCCAAAUCUUUCCGAAAGGUGUGGGCUCCAGCAGUACCGGUACCACCAUAAGCUAUGGUGGUAAGGACAGAAGGGGGGCUCACCUGAUGCAUGCAUUCAGGACAUCCAACCCAUCUGAUCCAAUGCAUGAUCACAGUUUACACCCAGCACCAAAAAAUGAGCCAAAUCCAAAACAUAGAUUAUUGAGGAUUGUGAAACACGCCUGGACACUGAUAAGCUGAAAGAGUUGGUGAGCAUUGUCGUUGAAGUCUUGCCGCCUCCCCCUCCGAGGCCCGGAGAGGAAGAUGAUCAACAGGCAGUGGAGAAUGAUUAGUCAUGAAAGGGACAUUUUUAGGUCGUUCUCUUGAUGAUGGUAGGCUGGAAGGAUUGCUAGGGAGGCGGACCUUGUUGCAGACCGAGUGAGGAGGGAGAUUUUGGAUUCACCCAUGGUUACCCUCCGGCCUUUUCAUUUUUGUUUGUUUUUGGAAAUGUUUAUUCAUAUAACCCAGUGCCCAAGGGAGCUGAUAUAGUUGCAGUGUUACUCA